CAUGUGCCUAGGCCAGAGGCUUAGACAAAAUAACCUCACAUCACGCAAGAGACGCGCCUGCUCCAAAAGGGAAGUCCAAAAGAGCGAACCCCCUCAAAAGCCUUUGAAUCAGCUUAAAUACCUUCUCGAUCUCGGCCCAGCUCACUUUGCAGAUGAGGACCCGAAAGCCAACAGGGUUGAAUGACUUGCCCAGGAUCACACAGCUAGUAAGUGUCUAAAGUCAGAUUUGAACUCAGGAAGAUGAGUCUUCCUAACUCUAGACCUAACUCUAUCCACUGUACUACCUUGCUGCCCCCACUGACAUUUACCAAUCACUUUAAAUUUUGUGAAGCAAAUAGCAUAUAUAACCUCAUUUGAGCCUCUUGAAACCCUGUGAUCUUGGUAGAUUUGAAAGGUAUUAUGUAUCAAACCCAUGUUCAGAAGAGUGUCUUGAAGGUCAAGGAGUUUAAGUGACUUGGCCAGGGUCACAUAGCUGGAAGGUGUCAGAGUUGGGAUUGGAGCCUACGUCUUCCCAACUCCAAGUCUCACCAUUUUGGCAAGCUUCCUGAUCUUAGGCAAGUCACUUGAUGGUAAAAAUAACAAGAAUAUCCACAAAAACAAGUUGCAUUUCUACCAGUGCUAUAAAGCUUUCAAAGCAUUUUUCCCUACAUUGUUUCUUGACAAUCUUAUAAGAUGAUACAAUAAGAAGUUGCCAUGAUACUUUUAAUAUUUUAAUAUUAAUUGUUAACAACAGGAUAUGUAACUAACCUACAUACUAGAUUAAAUAUAAAAGCAAAUGAAAUAGUUUAAAGUUAUAUUUUUCGCUCUGGAUCUCAGUUUCGCUAUUGGGAAAACGUAAAGGUGUAGUACUAGAUGAUCCCUUUCUUCAAGACCUACGAUCGUCAUUUUGAAAACCAUGAAUUGUCGUCUUACAAUAUUGCAGAAGAGUGUUGGGGGGGGGGCAGCUGGGUAGCUCAGUGGAUUGAGAGCCAGGCCUAGAGAUGGGAGGUCCUAGGUUCAAAUCUGGCCUCAGACACUUCCCAGCUGUGUGACCCUGGGCAAGUCACUUGACCCCCAUUGCCUAGCUCUUACCACUCUUCUGCCUUGGAGCCAAUACACAGUAUUGACUCCAAGAUGGAAGGUGAGGGUUUAAAAAAAAAAAGAAGAGUGUUGGCCGUUUAAAGGGUCUGCUUUCCUGGAUUUGG
This 1184-nucleotide long non-coding RNA is filed under the name Monodelphis domestica (gray short-tailed opossum). Its description in RNAcentral is "lncRNA (ENSMODG00000040718.1)". Lineage: Eukaryota; Metazoa; Chordata; Mammalia; Didelphimorphia; Didelphidae. The record is from RNAcentral.